RNAcentral lists this ribosomal RNA (1957 nucleotides) under marine metagenome. Its description in RNAcentral is "bacterial LSU rRNA". It matches the Rfam family "Bacterial large subunit ribosomal RNA", at positions 1 to 2005 of the family's 2925-position model. The record is from RNAcentral.
UUAAGUGACUAAGCGUAUACGGUGGAUGCCUUGGCAGUCAGAGGCGAUGAAGGACGUGUUAAUCUGCGAAAAGCUGUGGUGAGCUGAUAAAACGCGUAAUAGCCACAGAUGUCCGAAUGGGGAAACCCACCGCUUCGGCGGUAUCUGUACCUGAAUAUAUAGGGUAUGGAGGCAAACGAGGGGAACUGAAACAUCUAAGUACCCUUAGGAAAAGAAAUCAACCGAGAUUCCCCUAGUAGCGGCGAGCGAACGGGGAUUAGCCCUUAAGCGUAUUGUAAGUAAGUGGAAUGAGUUGGAAAGCUCAGCGAUACAAGGUGAUAGCCCUGUACACGAAAACGAACUUUAAGUGAAAACGAGUAGGUCGGGACACGUGUUAUCUUGACUGAAUAUGGGGGGACCAUCCUCCAAGGCUAAAUACUCCUAACUGACCGAUAGUGAACCAGUACCGUGAGGGAAAGGCGAAAAGAACCCCUGUGAGGGGAGUGAAAUAGAACCUGAAACCGUAUACGUACAAGCAGUGAGAGCAGACUAGUUCUGUGAUUGCGUACCUUUUGUAUAAUGGGUCAGCGACUUAUAUUUAGUAGCAAGGUUAACCGCAUAGGGGAGCCGUAGCGAAAGCGAGUGUUAACUGCGCGUUUAGUUGCUAGGUAUAGACCCGAAACCCGGUGAUCUAGCCAUGGGCAGGUUGAAGGUUGAGUAACAUCAACUGGAGGACCGAACCCACUGACGUUGAAAAGUCAGGGGAUGACCUGUGGCUGGGGGUGAAAGGCCAAUCAAACCGGGAGAUAGCUGGUUCUCCCCGAAAUCUAUUUAGGUAGAGCCUCGGACGAAUUCCAUUGGGGGUAGAGCACUGUUAAGGCUAGGGGGUCAUCCCGACUUACCAACCCUUUGCAAACUCCGAAUACCGAUGAGAACUAUCCGGGAGACACACGGCGGGUGCUAACGUCCGUCGUGGAGAGGGAAACAACCCAGACCGCCAGCUAAGGUCCCAAAAUAUUACUAAGUGGGAAACGAUGUGGGAAGGCUAAGACAGCUAGGAGGUUGGCUUAGAAGCAGCCAUCCUUUAAAGAAAGCGUAAUAGCUCACUAGUCGAGUCGGCCUGCGCGGAAGAUGUAACGGGGCUAAGUAAUAUACCGAAGCUGCGGCAUUGUACUUAGGUACAGUGGGUAGGGGAGCGUUGUGUAAGCUGUUGAAGGUGUACCGGGAGGUAUGCUGGAGGUAUCACAAGUGCGAAUGCUGACAUGAGUAACGAUAAUGGGGGUGAAAAACCCCCACGCCGGAAGACCAAGGUUUCCUGUCCCAUGCUAAUCAGGGCAGGGUAAGUCGGCCCCUAAGGCGAGGCAGAAAUGCGUAGUCGAUGGGAAACGGAUUAAUAUUUCCGUACUUGUAUAUUCAGUGAAGGGGGGACGGAGAAGGCUAAGCAAGCUUGGCGUUGGUAGUCCAAGUGAAAGUGCGUAGGGUUGAUGUUUAGGCAAAUCCGGACAUCUACAUGCCUGAGACACGAGACGAGCCACUAAGGUGGUGAAGUUGUUGAUGCCCUGCUUCCAGGAAAAGCCUCUAAACUUAUGAAUAUAUGAACCGUACCCCAAACCGACACAGGUGGUCAGGUAGAGAAUACUAAGGCGCUUGAGAGAACUCGGGUGAAGGAACUCGGCAAAAUUGUACCGUAACUUCGGGAGAAGGUACGCCCUUGUUUGUGAUGGACUUCGCGUCCUAAGCAGAUGAGGGCCGCAGUGACCAGGUGGCUGGGACUGUUUAUUAAAAACACAGCACUGUGCUAAAUCGAAAGAUGACGUAUACGGUGUGACACCUGCCCGGUGCCGGAAGGUUAAUUGAUGGGGUUAGCGUAAGCGAAGCUCUUGAUCGAAGCCCCGGUAAACGGCGGCCGUAACUAUAACGGUCCUAAGGUAGCGAAAUUCCUUGUCGGGUAAGUUCCGACCUGCACGAAUGGUGUAAC